Non-coding RNA from Camelina sativa (false flax), 2547 nucleotides. The record is from RefSeq and is a predicted model, not a curated record. Lineage: Eukaryota; Viridiplantae; Streptophyta; Magnoliopsida; Brassicales; Brassicaceae.
CUUGCAUCCUCCAGUCUCACCAAACCCACACCGCUUUCCCUCACCCGGCUCACUGAACCGUUGUGGUCUUCUCUUUGUUAUUUAAAUUGGUUUAUGAGACAAGACGCUUUAAUAUUUUUACGGACCAUGGAAGUAGAGUGUCGGCGUUAUUACGUCCGUCUUCUUCAAUCAUGCAGCAACAGAAAUCGCGAAACUUUAUGGAGACAAACCCAUGGAUUGUUCUUGAAGAAGGGUUUUAUCAGUUCAAUUGUCAUCGUAGCUAACCAUCUCCUCCAGAUAUACUCGCGGAGUGGCAAUAUGAGAACUGCACGGAACUUGUUCGACGAAAUGCCUGAGAGAAACUAUUUCUCCUGGAACACUAUGAUUGAAGGGUAUAUCAAUUCUGGGGAAAAGGGCACGUCUUUGAGGUUUUUUGAUACAAUGCCAGAAAGGGAUGGGUAUUCUUGGAACUUGGUUGUGUCCGGUUUUGCAAAGGCUGGGGAGCUAGGUGUUUCCAGGAGGUUGUUCAAUGCCAUGCCGGAGAAAGAUGCUGUGACUUUGAACUCUCUGCUUCAUGGCUAUAUUCUAAACGGUUAUGCAGAGGAAGCUCUGAGGCUGUUUAAAGAAUUGAAAUUUAGCGGUGAUGCGAUCAUAAUGACUACAGUUCUCAAGGCAUGUGCUAUGUUGGAAGCUUUGAAAAGUGGGAAGCAGAUACAUGCUCGGAUUAUGAUCGGUGGUGUUGAAUUUGACUCGAAGAUGAAUAGUUCUUUAGUUAAUUUGUAUGCAAAGUGUGGUGAGUGGAGAAUGGCGAGUGUUAUGAUGGAUCAGAUUGGGGAACCUGAUGACCAUUCUCUAUCUGCUUUAGUUUCAGGUUAUGCUAAUUGUGGGAGAGUGAAUGAGUCUAGAAGAGUUUUUGAUAGGAGAAGUAACAGAUGUGUAAUUCUAUGGAACUCUAUGAUUUCAGGUUAUGUUGCCAACAAUAUGAAAUUGGAGGCAUUGGUUCUUUAUAAUGAGAUGAGGAAUGAAACCAGGGAAGAUUCUCGUACGCUUGCAGCUGUUAUAAACGCUUGCAUUGGUUUGGGAUUCCUAGAGACUGGUAAACAAAUGCAUUGUCAUGCUUGUAAGUUUGGGUUAGUUAACGACGUUGUUGUAGCUAGUACUUUGCUUGACAUGUACUCCAAGUGUGGAAGCCCAAUGGAAGCUUGCAAACUUUUCAGUGAGGUUGAAACCUAUGACACAAUCUUACUUAAUAAUAUGAUCAAUGUAUAUUUCAGCUGCGGUAGAUUUGAUGAUGCAAAACGGGUUUUUGAGAGAAUUGAGAAUAAGAGUUUGAUUUCUUGGAACUCAAUGAUCAACGGGUUCAGUCAAAAUGGUUGUCCAGUUGAAACUUUGGAGUAUUUCCGCCGAAUGCAUAAGCUGGAUUUGCCUACAGAUGAGGUUAGCCUCUCCAGUGUCAUUAGUGCUUGCGCAAGCAUUUCUUCUCUCGAACUCGGUGAGCAGGUUUUUGCGAGGGCAACUAUUGUUGGUCUUGACCCUGAUCAAGUAGUAUCAUCCUCUCUAGUUGAUCUCUACUGCAAGUGUGGAUUCGUUGAGCAUGGCAGGAGAGUUUUUGACACUAUGGUGAAAUCAGAUGAAGUACCAUGGAACUCAAUGAUAUCAGGUUAUGCUACGAAUGGUCGUGGAUUUGAAGCGAUUGAUUUGUUCAAGAAAAUGAUUGUUGCUGGUAUAAAACCCACUCGGAUCACCUUUAUGGUUGUUCUAACAGCGUAUAAUUACUGUGGUUUAGUGGAAGAAGGAAGGAAAUUUUUUGAGGCAAUGAAGUUGGAUCACGGUUUUGUUCCAGAUAAAGAGCAUUUUUCAUGUAUGGUUGAUCUUUUGGCUCGUGCUGGUUAUGUGAAAGAAGCCUUAAAUCUUGUAGAAGAGAUGCCUUUCGAACCGGAUGCAAGCAUGUGGUCAUCUGUCUUAAGAGGAUGUGUAGCAAAUGGACAUAAAUCCAUGGGAAAGAAAGUUGCUGAGAAGAUUAUAGAGCUUGAACCUGUGAACUCAGUUGCUUAUGUGCAGUUGUCCGCCAUAUUUGCAACCUCUGGAGAUUGGGAAAGCUCGGGGCUUGUAAGAAAUUUGAUGAGAGAGAAGAAUGUGACAAAGAAUCCAGGUUCUAGUUGGGCUGAUUGUUGAAUACUCAGUUUGAGUGGUGUUAAUACCACCGAGAGAAGCAAAACGACAAGUCAAGUUUGAGUAAAAAGAAAUGGAGUGAGGAGUUUGAAACGAAAUAAACAAAACUUACUAUCACUUGAAGUUCGAUGAACUCUGAUCGCAUUGUGCACUACAUGGUCCAUACAUUGAGAUAUGAGAAAGAGUGCAACUUGAGCUAGAGAACAUUAGCGUGAUGGUGACUUUUUACAGGUUGAUAGAGAAAUCAAAGAUCUACAACUAGACGUUUCCACUAGCAAACUACAUAGCACCAUUGAUUCUUUUGCUGAGCUAGAGACGCAUGGUUUCACCGUGAAACUUUCACUUUACACCACCUCAAUCAUAAAUCACGGUUUGGAGUUUGAAGAUGAAGUGGUU